This is a long non-coding RNA of Gadus macrocephalus (Pacific cod), 418 nucleotides long. RefSeq lists it as uncharacterized. The record is from RefSeq and is a predicted model, not a curated record. The transcript has 3 exons. Lineage: Eukaryota; Metazoa; Chordata; Actinopteri; Gadiformes; Gadidae.
AGUCCCAUUGAUAUUGAAAAAGAUGAAGCCAUUGAGGAGGCCAUCAGACGCAGUCUUUUAGAAGAGUCUGUGCAGUCCUUACAGGAUUCAAGGUUCGCAGAAAGUUUGAGCAAAGAAGAAAUUACAGGAAUUGUGAAAGCUCACAGUGAGAGGGUUGUCACAGAAGCAUACAGAUACAGACCGAUCUACAUCAGCCGAGGGAAUGUGUGGACAACUGCCCUCCGACAGUUUAGUAGACGGAAAUUCCCUGAGAGCACCGAUCUGCUGUAUGUCACCUUUGCCAGUGACGAAGGCACCAACGAAGAUGGAGAAGACCUCGGAGGGCCAAGGCGAGAAUUCUUCCAUCUGCUUGUGAAAGCCAUCUUCAAAGAGAGUGGAGCAUUUGAAGAGUCUCUAAAUGGCUUCACUCCAAGAAUGA